UACGAGGGGGGCAAGCGUUGUUCGGAAUUAUUGGGCGUAAAGGGUGCGUAGGCGGUUUGACAAGUCUUAUGUGAAAUCUAUGGGCUCAACCCAUAGUCUGCAUGGGAAACUGUCGGGCUUGAGUAUGGGAGAGGUGAGUGGAAUUUCCGGUGUAGCGGUGAAAUGCGUAGAUAUCGGAAGGAACACCUGUGGCGAAAGCGGCUCACUGGACCAUUACUGACGCUGAUGCACGAAAGCUAGGGGAGCAAACAGG
RNAcentral lists this ribosomal RNA (253 nucleotides) under uncultured bacterium. RNAcentral describes it as "partial 16S ribosomal RNA". It matches the Rfam family "Bacterial small subunit ribosomal RNA", at positions 524 to 776 of the family's 1533-position model. The record is from RNAcentral.